Molecule: transfer RNA, 62 nt
Filed under: Paenibacillus polymyxa
Lineage: Bacteria; Bacillati; Bacillota; Bacilli; Caryophanales; Paenibacillaceae
Description: tRNA-Pro
Rfam family: tRNA
About the family: Transfer RNA (tRNA) molecules are approximately 80 nucleotides in length. Their secondary structure includes four short double-helical elements and three loops (D, anti-codon, and T loops).
Source: RNAcentral
GUAGCUCAGCUUGGUAGAGCACCUGGUUUGGGACCAGGGGGUCGCAUGUUCAAAUCGUGUCA